RNAcentral lists this long non-coding RNA (1376 nucleotides) under Marmota monax (woodchuck). The record is from RNAcentral. Lineage: Eukaryota; Metazoa; Chordata; Mammalia; Rodentia; Sciuridae.
GUCUUCACAAAGCACACUUAUCCUGCCAGGUUUCAGGUUUCUCGCAGCAAGGGAAAUCAGGUGAGUGGCAGGGCUGUGUUUCCAUAAGGAGAUUUCAGGAUGUAGAGGCCAUAGCCUGCCCUGGGUGAGUAGAUCCUCAGAGAGGGACCAGAAGCAAAGGAGGGCCAAAGGGGGGGGACUGUGAGGAAAUGCAUUUUGUCCAGAUGCAGGGGAAGUGUGUUGGUGGGGAGCAAGGACCCAAUCAAGGAGCCCAGUCUGGCAGAAGUAGUGGAGGAAAGUGUCCAGGCAGUGCCAGGAUACAACAGCAGAAGAAAAACAGAGGGGACGCAUAACAGGGCCCCGAGUAAGGGGCCUGAAAUCAAGGUACAUGAGCAAGAUCCUUAAGCAGGGCAGCCAGGGUCUCAAGCAAAAAGCCAGGCCUAGGAAUAGAGAGCCAAGUGCAAGGGCCUGGGUCAAGGUAUAUGAAAACAGACAGGGCUGGUGGGGGAGAGGCAAGGGAAGGAGCUGGUAGUGCAAAGGAGGUAGGUUCAAGGCCCAGGCCCACUGCAGGUUGUCAGUGUCUGGGAGCAGGGCCUGGGCUGAGGGAGGCCAAUGGCCUAUGCAGGGGAAGGGCUAUGUUUAACAAAAUGGAGCCCCUGGGGCCAAAGGCCAGGUCCAGUCUCCUGGCCUGGGUGUAUCCUUGGAAAGGGAACAGAAAAAGGGUCCUGGCAGUGUCAGGGACGACAGGAGGGCCAAAGGAGGGCACAGCCAGAAGGGUCUGAGGAUUGAUGUGGGUGGAAUGUGGGCCAGAAUACAAGAAAGGAGCCCAGUUUAGGGACCUAGAAGAGGGCCCAGGACAUGUGAGAGCAUGGAAGGGUGGGGUUGGUAAGGUGGGGCUGCACUAGGGGACUAGUACAGAGAAUCCAAGGGGACCAGGAAGCAGCCCUAGAGAGGGGCCCACACACCAAGCCCAGGGAAACACUGAGCAAGAAGGACCACCAGAGGCUCAAAUGAGGAGCCAGGCCAGGGAAUGAAGAGCCAAGGCCUGGGGAAGGGGCCUCAGGUAAUGGACAAGGGUGGGUAGGGAAGGCUGUGGAUCCAGCAGGGUGCAGGCAGGAUCCAAUCCCCGAGCCACUGCCAGGUUUCAGGGUUCUGGAAACAGGACCAAGGGCUUGGGGAGAGCAAAGGGCCCAGGCCAGGGGCAGGGCUCUGUUUCCUAUAAGAUGCACGGGCACAGAUGAGAAUCCAGGACCAGGGACUGGGCAAAGGUGGCUGGCAAGGGAAGGGGGCCAGGAGGUAGACAAGGGGAAGGCUCAAUUUGAAGUCACAGUGGGUGUGGAGAGGGGCGAGAGCCAGUAACCAAGCAAGGAGUGCAGGCAAGGGACCGACCUGACCCA